GUUGAAUGAUCAGCUGCGCCAAAUCAAUGCAGCACUAAGGCGACAAGCAAAGAUAGAGUCUUAUGCUCCCAACUUAAGCUAUGCACCGGUUGGUAGGACAGCAGAGGUGACUGAGGUUAUAGUGGAUCCUCGGAAGCAACAACUACUGUCACAUUUGAGAACUGGAAAAAAUUAUCUGAGGAAUCAAGAACCGGAGAAGGCAUUUGUAGAAUUUAAGGCAGCUCUUGAACUUGCACAAGC
RNAcentral lists this unclassified non-coding RNA (240 nucleotides) under Hevea brasiliensis (rubber tree). Lineage: Eukaryota; Viridiplantae; Streptophyta; Magnoliopsida; Malpighiales; Euphorbiaceae. The record is from RNAcentral.